CCUUAGCUCAGCUGGGAGAGCACCUGCUUUGCAAGCAGGGGGUCAGCGGUUCGAUCCCGCUAGGC
This 65-nucleotide transfer RNA is filed under the name uncultured Chaetoceros. It matches the Rfam family "tRNA", at positions 5 to 66 of the family's 71-position model. From Rfam's summary of the family: Transfer RNA (tRNA) molecules are approximately 80 nucleotides in length. Their secondary structure includes four short double-helical elements and three loops (D, anti-codon, and T loops). Further hydrogen bonds mediate the characteristic L-shaped molecular structure. tRNAs have two regions of fundamental functional importance: the anti-codon, which is responsible for specific mRNA codon recognition, and the 3' end, to which the tRNAs corresponding amino acid is attached (by aminoacyl-tRNA synthetases). tRNAs cope with the degeneracy of the genetic code in two manners: having more than one tRNA (with a specific anti-codon) for a particular amino acid; and 'wobble' base-pairing, i.e. permitting non-standard base-pairing at the 3rd anti-codon position. The record is from RNAcentral. Lineage: Eukaryota; Bacillariophyta; Thalassiosirophyceae; Chaetocerotales; Chaetocerotaceae.